AGUGAACGCUGGCGGCAGGCCUAACACAUGCAAGUCGAGCGGAAGAAGGGAGCUUGCUCGUGGAUUCAGCGGCGGACGGGUGAGUAAUGCCUAGGAAUCUGCCUGGUAGUGGGGGAUAACGUCCGGAAACGGGCGCUAAUACCGCAUACGUGCUGAGGGAGAAAGUGGGGAAUCUUCGGACCUCACGCUAUCAGAUGAGCCUAGGUCGGAUUAGCUAGUUGGUGGGGUAAAGGCCUACCAAGGCGACGAUCCGUAACUGGUCUGAGAGGAUGAUCAGUCACACUGGAACUGAGACACGGUCCAGACUCCUACGGGAGGCAGCAGUGGGGAAUAUUGGACAAUGGGCGAAAGCCUGAUCCAGCCAUGCCGCGUGUGUGAAGAAGGUCUUCGGAUUGUAAAGCCCUUUUGGUUGGGAAGAAGGGCAGUAAGUUAAUACCUUGCUGUUUUGACGUUACCAACAGAAUAAGCACCGGCUAACUUCGUG
This 484-nucleotide ribosomal RNA is filed under the name uncultured bacterium. Its description in RNAcentral is "partial 16S ribosomal RNA". It matches the Rfam family "Bacterial small subunit ribosomal RNA", at positions 29 to 507 of the family's 1533-position model. The record is from RNAcentral.